GAUAUACCGGUUCUCGUACAAUCACUGAAGUUAAGCAACAUCAAGCAUGGUUAGUACUUAGAUCGGUAACCACUUGGGAAUACUAGGUGCU
Molecule: non-coding RNA, 91 nt
Organism: Acanthosepion pharaonis
Lineage: Eukaryota; Metazoa; Mollusca; Cephalopoda; Sepiida; Sepiidae
Source: the annotation of a GenBank genome assembly